Molecule: ribosomal RNA, 244 nt
Filed under: uncultured bacterium
Lineage: Bacteria
Description: partial 16S ribosomal RNA
Rfam family: Bacterial small subunit ribosomal RNA
Source: RNAcentral
CGAGGUGGAGCAAAUCCCAAAAANAAACGUCUCAGUUCGGAUUGUAGUCUGCAACUCGACUACAUGAAGCUGGAAUCGCUAGUAAUCGCGAAUCAGAAUGUCGCGGUGAAUACGUUCCCGGGUCUUGUACACACCGCCCGUCACACCAUGGGAGUCAGCAACGCCCGAAGCCGGUGACCCAACCGAAAGGAGGGAGCCGUCGAAGGUGGGGCCGAUAACUGGGGUGAAGUCGUAACAAGGUAAC